CACCACAACAGGUGGAGCCUGCGGUUUAAUCGGACUCAACGCCGGGAAACUCACCAGAUAAGACAGCUGAAUGAUAGUCGGGCUGAAGACUCUACUUGACUAGCUGAGAGGAGGUGCAUGGCCGUCGUCAGUUCGUACUGUGAAGCAUCCUGUUAAGUCAGGCAACGAGCGAGACCCACGCCAACAGUUGCCAGCUCGUCCUCCGGGAUGGUGGGGACACUGUUGGGACCGCCUCUGCUAAAGAGGAGGAAGGAAUGGGCAACGGUAGGUCAGCAUGCCCCGAAUCAUCUGGGCUACACGCGGGCUACAAUGGGUGGGACAAUGGGUAUCGACACCGAAAGGUGAAGGCAAUCUCCUAAACCCAUCCGUAGUUCGGAUUGUGGGCUGCAACUCGCCCACAUGAAGCUGGAAUCUGUAGUAAUCGUGUCUCAAAAUGGCACGGUGAAUAUGUCCCUGCUCCUU
Molecule: ribosomal RNA, 462 nt
Filed under: uncultured Methanomicrobiales archaeon
Lineage: Archaea; Methanobacteriati; Methanobacteriota; Methanomicrobia; Methanomicrobiales
Description: bacterial SSU rRNA
Rfam family: Archaeal small subunit ribosomal RNA
Source: RNAcentral